RNAcentral lists this ribosomal RNA (488 nucleotides) under Starmerella bacillaris. RNAcentral describes it as "eukaryotic LSU rRNA". It matches the Rfam family "Eukaryotic large subunit ribosomal RNA", at positions 67 to 658 of the family's 3401-position model. The record is from RNAcentral. Lineage: Eukaryota; Fungi; Ascomycota; Dipodascomycetes; Dipodascales; Trichomonascaceae.
ACGAGGGAUUGCCCUAGUAACGGCGAGUGAACAGGCAAGAGCUCAGAUUUGAAAGGCACUUUUGUGCCGUUGUAUUCUGAAGUUAGGGUCCUGAGAAACGAUGCUUAAGUCUUCUGGAAAGGAGCGCCAUGGAGGGUGAUAGCCCCGUCUAGCAUUGACCUCAUAUAGGAUCUUAACAUGGAGUCGAGUUGUUUGGGAAUGCAGCUCAAAUGGGUGGUAUGCUCCAUCUAAAGCUAAAUAUCUGCGAGAGACCGAUAGUAAACAAGUACUGUGAGGGAAAGAUGAAAAGAACUUUGAAAAGAGAGUGAAAAAGUACGUGAAAUUGUUGAAAUGGAAGGGUAGGCCGCUAACCAUGUAGAGCCGUGUUUGGGGGGAAGAUAAAUGCUGUAGAAUGUAGCUCCUCGGAGUAUUAUAGAUGCAGUUCAUAUUCCCACCCGAGCGCGAGGAUCUCAGGUUCUACUAAAUGGUGGUCUACCACCCGUCUUGAA